This 1525-nucleotide small RNA is filed under the name Pan troglodytes (chimpanzee). RNAcentral describes it as "processed transcript". The record is from RNAcentral. Lineage: Eukaryota; Metazoa; Chordata; Mammalia; Primates; Hominidae.
CUCUGCCUCCUGAUCAGGAGUCUCUCUGGGACCCCCUCCAACUCCCCAGGUGAAUCAAGGAACCCUUGGGCCCCAGCCCCCGUGGCCCCCGGCGAGGUGGUGAAGACUGCAGGUGGGGUGUGCAAGUUCUCUGGACAGCGACUGAGCUGGUGGCAGGCCCAAGAGUCCUGCGAGCAGCAGUUUGGCCACUUGGCACUGCAGCCCCCUGAUGGGGUUCUUGCUUCACGGCUGCGCGAUCCGGUCUGGGUGGGCCAAAGAGAGGCCCCUCUGCGGAGACCCCCACAGAGGCGUGCGCGCACCACCGCUGUGCUGGUGUUCGGCGAGAGGACGGCUGACCGGGCGGCGCGGCUGCGGAGCCCUCUGCCUGAGCUGGCAGCGCUGACCGCGUGUACUCACGUGCAGUGGGACUGUGCCUCGCCCGACCCCGCAGCGCUCUUCUCCGUUGCCGCGCCCGCGCUGCCCAACGCGCUGCAGCUGCGCGCCUUCGCCGAGCCGGGGGGCGUCGUGCACGCUGCGCUGGUGGUGCGUGGGCACCACGCGCCCUUCCUCGCAGCCUUCCGCGCCGACGGCCGCUGGCACCAUGUGUGCGCCACGUGGGAGCAGCGGGGGGGCGCUGGGCGCUGUUCUCCGAUGGGAGGCGGCGCGCUGGGGCGCGGGCGCUGGGCGCCGGCCACCCGGUGCCGUCCGGCGGCAUCCUGGUGCUGGGCCAGGAUCAGGACUCUCUGGGCGGUGGCUUCUCGGUGCGUGACGCCUUCAGCGGCAACCUCACCGACUUCCACCUGUGGGCGCGGGCGCUGAGCCCCGCUCAGCUGCACCGGGCACGGGCCUGCGCGCCGCCCUCAGAGGGCCUGCUCUUCCGCUGGGACCCGGGCGCCCUGGACGUCGCACCCUGGCUGCUGCCCACUGUGUGGGUGCGCCUUCUCUGUCCCGUGCCCUCCGAGGAGUGCCCUACGUGGAACCCGGGACCUCGCAGUGAGGGCUCUGAGCUCUGCCUGGAGCCGCAGCCCUUCCUCUGCUGCUACCGGACAGAGCCCUAUCGUCGGCUGCAGGAUGCCCAGUCGUGGCCUGGCCAGGAUGUUAUUAGCCAAGUCAAUGCCUUGGCCAACGACAUUGUGCUCCUCCCGGACCCCCUCUCUGAAGUCCAUGGGGCCCUGUCCCCAGCGGAGGCCUCCAGCUUCCUGGGCCUUCUGGAGCAUGUCCUGGCAAUGGAGAUGGCUCCCCUGGGGCCGGCCGCACUGCUGGCUGUUGUCCGCUUCCUGAAGAGGGUGGUGGCCCUUGGGGCUGGGGACCCAGAGCUGUUGUUGACAGGCCCCUGGGAGCAGCUGAGCCAAGGCGUUGUAUCUGUGGCCAGCCUGGUCCUGGAGGAGCAGGUGGCUGACACAUGGCUCUCCCUCCGUGAGGUGAUUGGUGGGCCUAUGGCCCUGGUGGCGAGUGUGCAGCGCCUGGCACCCCUGCUGAGCACCACAAUGACCUCAGAGCGGCCCCGAAUGCACAUCCAGCACCGCCAUGCUGGCCUGGAGGUGCG